RNAcentral lists this microRNA precursor (78 nucleotides) under Trichobilharzia regenti. RNAcentral's name for it is "mir-3492 microRNA precursor family". It matches the Rfam family "mir-3492 microRNA precursor family". The record is from Rfam by way of RNAcentral. Lineage: Eukaryota; Metazoa; Platyhelminthes; Trematoda; Strigeidida; Schistosomatidae.
AGCCUUCUGUAACCGUGCUGAGAUUUCGUUAGCAAUCAACCCACUGGGUCUGAUGCAAAUUCCCAAAUAAGUGAAGUG